GAUGAAGAACGCAGUGAAAUGCGAUAAGUAAUGCGAAUUGCAGAAUUUCCGUGAGUCAUCGAAUCUUUGAACGCACAUUGCGCCCACUGGUAUUCCGGUGGGCAUGCCUGUUCGAGCGUCAUUAUCCUCCCUCAAACCCCGGGUUUGGUGUUGGACCCAAGUUGUGUGAACAACUGGUCUCAAAGACAAUGACGGCGUCCGUGGGACCCUCGGUGCAACGAGCUUUUAGGAGCACGCGCCGAGUUGCAAGGACCUUCCGGGCCGGUCUCCUUUACUAUUUUACAAGGUUGACCUCGGAUCAGGUAGGAAUACCCGCUGAACUUAAGCAUAUCAAUAAGCGGAGGA
RNAcentral lists this unclassified non-coding RNA (345 nucleotides) under soil metagenome. Its description in RNAcentral is "partial contains 5.8S ribosomal RNA, internal transcribed spacer 2, and large subunit ribosomal RNA". The stretch from base 1 to 121 matches the Rfam family "5.8S ribosomal RNA", at positions 35 to 154 of the family's 154-position model. The record is from RNAcentral.